GGGGCGUUAGCUCAGCCGGUUAGAGCAGGGGACUCAUAAUCCUCCGGUCGCGGGUUCAAGUCCCGCACGCCUCA
RNAcentral lists this transfer RNA (74 nucleotides) under Streptomyces kasugaensis. It matches the Rfam family "tRNA". From Rfam's summary of the family: Transfer RNA (tRNA) molecules are approximately 80 nucleotides in length. RNAcentral also lists the same sequence under 1 other name. The record is from Rfam by way of RNAcentral. Lineage: Bacteria; Bacillati; Actinomycetota; Actinomycetes; Kitasatosporales; Streptomycetaceae.